CCGAGAGGUCAAAGGGGGCUCGCAAGGGCUCUCGCCACAGGAGGAGUCCGCGUUCGAUUAGCUAGUUGGUAGGGUAAUGGCCUACCAAGGCGACGAUCGAUAGCCGGCCUGAGAGGGUGAUCGGCCACACUGGAACUGAGACACGGUCCAGACUCCUACGGGAGGCAGCAGUGGGGAAUUUUGCGCAAUGGGCUAACGCCUGACGCAGCAACGCCGCGUGGAGGAUGAAGGUCUUUGGAUUGUAAACUCCUGUCGACCGAGAAAAAGCAACUCGACCUAACACGUCGGGGAGUUGAUUGUACCGGUGGAGGAAGCCCCGGCUAACUCUGUGCCAGCAGCCCGCGGUAAUACAGAGGGGGCAAGCGUUAUUCGGAAUUAUUGGGCGUAAAGGGCGCCUAAGCCGGCUUGGCAAGUGGAAAG
This 420-nucleotide ribosomal RNA is filed under the name uncultured bacterium. RNAcentral describes it as "bacterial SSU rRNA". It matches the Rfam family "Bacterial small subunit ribosomal RNA", at positions 193 to 594 of the family's 1533-position model. The record is from RNAcentral.